UAAUUAGGCGUUGACAGUCAAAUAAUUAUCUCCUCCACAUACAGGAAAAGAAAGCUGAGAAUCAUGAAAUGGCAGUCUACAACAUUUUAUCUGAGAAGGGUGAUAUACACAGAAACCCUCUCAAUUAUAUUUUCUUUGUAAAUCCAGCUCCAGGACAGCUCUCUGUGAACAUUGUGAUCUGCACCUCACCUCAGACUUACCUAAACGAGAGGUCUGCUUUCGUUUGAUUUCAACAAGUUUUGGAAUAGGAUAAGGUCCAUAGCAAUGAGUGAAAAUGACAGACAGUUGCUGACUUAUCACUUCAUUCUAAACAAAAGAAAUAAAUACAAAGUAUAAGCUUGUGGAUUAA
Chrysemys picta bellii (western painted turtle) is the source of this 349-nucleotide long non-coding RNA. RefSeq lists it as uncharacterized. NCBI's taxonomy places the organism in Eukaryota, Metazoa, Chordata, Testudines, Emydidae. The record is from RefSeq and is a predicted model, not a curated record.